UUCAUUAAGGACAGAUAGUGCUGACAUUCAAAUCUCUUCUCGCCAGAGUGGAUCUCGUGGCAAUGCUGUGAGUGACAUUAACCAAAUGAAAAAUCGAAUGUGAGGAACAGCAUCCGCUUUCCACGCGCAGCUCCCAGUCUUCUUCCGGCUUUCUCCAAGCAUCCAAACCUUCAGCCAAAUGAUAAACAUCGUUCAAAGUAAAGCGCCAGUUCCUAGAGAAACUCCAACCGAACUCAGGGUCUCCCUUGCCCCUCUUCCGAUCUGGACUGCCUGUAUCAUAUUCAGAAUCUCGUUAGGAAGCGAUAAGAGAGUCUGGAAAAGUCCCAAACUCCCGUAGAAAUCGAACAAGUCCUUCACUUUCAACUCCAAAUCACUGACACGUCGAGGCUCAAUUACUAGAUCCCCUAAUGGACCAGACCCUGGUCAGAUGUCAAGUACGCUUUCCAACUAGUGAGCCUAGUCCGAGCCUUCUCAAUGAUGAACCCAAAACGACAAGCACUAACACGAUCUGUAUGCAAAGUAAAUCCCGACUAGCAACACCUAGACAACCCAAGCCAUCUGUGGAGAUCGUCAUAAGCAGCAAUAAUACCAGAGAGUUAAAUCACACUCAUCAUAUCAUAUCUCCGGAAAAGAAGACCUCGGAUUUACUGAAAAUUUAACCUUUUUCCCAGAAUCCUCACAGAAAGACUUGAC
RNAcentral lists this long non-coding RNA (693 nucleotides) under Eucalyptus grandis. RNAcentral's name for it is "long non-coding RNA (EGRA_LNC007811)". The record is from RNAcentral. Lineage: Eukaryota; Viridiplantae; Streptophyta; Magnoliopsida; Myrtales; Myrtaceae.